UACGUAGGGUGCGAGCGUUAAUCGGAAUUACUGGGCAUAAAGCGUGCGCAGGCGGUUGGUUAAGUCUGAUGUGAAAGCCCCGAGCUCAACUUGGGAAUGGCAUUGGAAACUGGCCGGCUAGAGUGUGGCAGAGGGGGGUGGAAUUCCGCGUGUAGCAGUGAAAUGCGUAGAGAUGCGGAGGAACACCGAUGGCGAAGGCAGCCCCCUGGGCUGACACUGACGCUCAGGCACGAAAGCGUGGGGAGCAAACAGG
This 253-nucleotide ribosomal RNA is filed under the name uncultured bacterium. RNAcentral describes it as "partial 16S ribosomal RNA". It matches the Rfam family "Bacterial small subunit ribosomal RNA", at positions 524 to 776 of the family's 1533-position model. The record is from RNAcentral.